AUGCACGCUGGCGGCGUGCCUCAUCCCUGCCAGUCGAGCGCACAGAUGAGGAGCUUGCUCCUCUGACGUUAGCGGCGGACGGGUGAGUAACACGUGGAUAACCUACCUAUAAGACUGGGAUAACUUCGGGAAACCGGAGCUAAUACCGGAUAAUAUAUUGAACCGCAUGGUUCAAUAGUGAAAGACGGUUUUGCUGUCACUUAUAGAUGGAUCCGCGCCGCAUUAGCUAGUUGGUAAGGUAACGGCUUACCAGGGCAACGAUGCGUAGCCGACCUGAGAGGGUGAUCGGCCACACUGGAACUGAGACACGGUCCAGACUCCUACGGGAGGCAGCAGUAGGGAAUCUUCCGCAAUGGGCGAAAGCCUGACGGAGCAACGCCGCGUGAGUGAUGAAGGUCUUCGGAUCGUAAAACUCUGUUAUUAGGGAAGAACAAAUGUGUAAGUAACUAUGCACGUCUUGACGGUACCUAAUCAGAAAGCCACGGCUAACUACGUG
RNAcentral lists this ribosomal RNA (496 nucleotides) under uncultured bacterium. RNAcentral describes it as "partial 16S ribosomal RNA". It matches the Rfam family "Bacterial small subunit ribosomal RNA", at positions 29 to 507 of the family's 1533-position model. The record is from RNAcentral.